Salmo salar (Atlantic salmon) is the source of this 307-nucleotide non-coding RNA. Lineage: Eukaryota; Metazoa; Chordata; Actinopteri; Salmoniformes; Salmonidae. The record is from RefSeq and is a predicted model, not a curated record.
CAACACAGUUACUGUUAGCAGGUGGUACUACAACACAGUUACUUACUGUUAGCAGGUGGUACUACAACACAGUUACUGUUAGCAGGUGGUACUACAACACAGUUACUUACUGUUAGCAGGUGGUACUACAACACAGUUACUGUUAGCAGGUGGUACUACAACACAGUUACUGUUAGCAGGUGGUACUCCAACACAGUUACUUACUGUUAGCAGGUGGUACUACAACACAGUUACUGUUAGCAGGUGGUACUACAACACAGUUACUGUUAGCAGGUGGUACUACAACACAGUUACUGUUAGCAGGUGG